AAGAGAUUGGCUAAAAAAAAGAAAGAAAGAAAGAAAGAAAGAAAGAAGAAGAGAAGAAGUCUUCUUCGUCGUAUAGCCAUAAGCAACACAUAAGAUUAAAGUUGUGUAAUUUGAAUUUGAUAUUAUGUUGGGAGAAGAUUGGAGGUAAAUUUUAAUUCUUGGUUUUUGUUAAUUUAUUAUGAAGAAGUAUGAUUAGAUAAUUGUAGUAGAAGUAGAAACUUAAAAUUUUACAGAAAAUAUGUUGACAAUGAGUUAUUUCGAAAAUCAUAGUAAUUUGUACAUAUUGAUUUUGAUUCUUGAUUUUGGAUAUAUUAAAUCAGACAUCUUCAAGAAUGUUUUGAAGUUUGUUUCGACCAAUCAUAUAAGAAUUCAAUUUAUUACGAUUUUUUUAACUCAAGUCCAAAAACUUGAGAAUUUCUAAUUUCAGUGAAGAACAUGAAUUACGAAACUAUUUUACCGUAGCUAUAUUUAUUAAAAAAUGAUGAAAUUUGGACUAGUGAUUUUUAUGUAUGUCUAGAGUGAUUUAGGAAAAUUUCAUCAUUUUAUGAUAAAACAAUAAAUUGUUUUGUAUUUUUAAAAGAAAUAUGUUCAAAACAGAAAACUAUUUGACAUAAUUGAUAAUGUUUGAAAUGUAAUUAUUGCAAAAGUUUUUGAAGGAAUUAAGCUAUGAAGGUUUAAGCAUUGAAUUUCUAUUAUGUCAGCAUAUGCCUUGUAAAAUUUGAUGAUAUUAGAGUUUAUGAUUAUAAUUUGAUUAUAUGUGAUCAGAGUUUUGUUAAUGAUUUUUAGGUCGAUUAUAUCAAUAUGCAUUUUUUAUAUGUGGAUGCCAAGACAUAAGUAAACUAAACUUCUAAAUGAAUCAUAAUAAACAAUAUGUACAUAUUUGAAAAUUUUUAAAAAUCUAUAUUUGAUAUGUACGGAUAUGAAUUUAUAUGAUUUUGCCUAUUUAUUUACGUGAUGUGUUGUUAUGUGUUUAGCGAAAUUAUGCGGACAGCAUAAAGUAUAUGCGAGAGUUCAUUGGCACAAGAAUGAAUAUGCAUUAAGUUUUGUAUGAAAUGAGAAAGUGGACAAUAUCUUUCUUGAUUAGACUUUCAAUAUCCUUAGGGAUCAUGUAAAUAGGUGAUGUCCCUUUUCUGAAUCCAUGUAUAUUUAGCUUUCUUCUAUUGAUUUGUUAGAUUAAAGCUGAGUGAAGAUAGAGUGGGCUUACAGGACUGAGGAGGUUUUUGGGAUGAUGAAGUUGGCAUGGAAGGAGAUUGAGAUAAGCCACAUAAAGAUGCAGUUGACUUAGAUGAUGAUCAAGGUUGAUCAGAAGUCGAUGAAGAUGCUACAGGU
Molecule: long non-coding RNA, 1329 nt
Filed under: Citrus maxima (pomelo)
Lineage: Eukaryota; Viridiplantae; Streptophyta; Magnoliopsida; Sapindales; Rutaceae
Description: long non-coding RNA (CMAX_LNC003151)
Source: RNAcentral